CCUACGGGUGGCUGCAGUCGAGAAUCAUUCACAAUGGGGGAAACCCUGAUGCUGCGACGCCGCGUGGGGGAAUGAAGGUCUUCGGAUUGUAAACCCCUGUCAUGUGGGAGCAAAUUAAAAAGAUAGUACCACAAGAGGAAGAGGCGGCUAACUCUGUGCCAGCAGCCGCGGUAAUACAGAGGUCUCAAGUGUUGUUCGGAAUCACUGGGCGUAAAGCGUGCGUAGGCUGUUUCGUAAGUCGUGUGUGAAAGGCGCGGGCUCAACCCGCGGACGGCACAUGAUACUGCGAGACUGGAGUGAUGGAGGGGGAACCGGAAUUCUCGGGGUAGCAGUGAAAUGCGUAGAUAUCGAGAGGAACACUCGUGGCGAAGGCGGGUUCCUGGACAUUAACUGACGCUGAGGUGCGAAAGCGUGGGUAGCAAACAGGAUUAGAUACCCCUGUAGUC
RNAcentral lists this ribosomal RNA (446 nucleotides) under uncultured bacterium. RNAcentral's name for it is "partial 16S ribosomal RNA". It matches the Rfam family "Bacterial small subunit ribosomal RNA", at positions 338 to 795 of the family's 1533-position model. The record is from RNAcentral.